GAACUAAUAGCUUAAUGGCAGAGCAUACAAUUGAUAAUUGUAAAAUCAUAGUUCGAUUCUAUGUUGGUUCA
This 71-nucleotide transfer RNA is filed under the name Surirella sp. Its description in RNAcentral is "tRNA-Ile". It matches the Rfam family "tRNA". From Rfam's summary of the family: Transfer RNA (tRNA) molecules are approximately 80 nucleotides in length. Their secondary structure includes four short double-helical elements and three loops (D, anti-codon, and T loops). Further hydrogen bonds mediate the characteristic L-shaped molecular structure. tRNAs have two regions of fundamental functional importance: the anti-codon, which is responsible for specific mRNA codon recognition, and the 3' end, to which the tRNAs corresponding amino acid is attached (by aminoacyl-tRNA synthetases). tRNAs cope with the degeneracy of the genetic code in two manners: having more than one tRNA (with a specific anti-codon) for a particular amino acid; and 'wobble' base-pairing, i.e. permitting non-standard base-pairing at the 3rd anti-codon position. Lineage: Eukaryota; Bacillariophyta; Bacillariophyceae; Surirellales; Surirellaceae. The record is from RNAcentral.